UACAGAGGUGGCUAGCGUUGUUCGGAUUUAUUGGGCGUAAAGGGUCCGUAGGCGGUCCGGAAAGUUGGAUGUGAAAUCCUACAGCUUAACUGUAGAACUGCAUUCAAAACUCCCGGACUUGAGUGUGAGAGGGGUAAAGGGAAUUCCCGGUGUAAGGGUGAAAUCUGCAGAGAUCGGGAAGAACACCAGUCGCGAAGGCGCUUUACUGGCUCACUACUGACGCUCAGGGACGAAAGCUAGGGGAGCAAACGGGAUUAGAAACCCUGGUAGU
This 271-nucleotide ribosomal RNA is filed under the name uncultured bacterium. RNAcentral describes it as "partial 16S ribosomal RNA". It matches the Rfam family "Bacterial small subunit ribosomal RNA", at positions 524 to 794 of the family's 1533-position model. The record is from RNAcentral.